This 73-nucleotide transfer RNA is filed under the name Candidatus Sungiibacteriota bacterium. Its description in RNAcentral is "tRNA-Glu". It matches the Rfam family "tRNA". From Rfam's summary of the family: Transfer RNA (tRNA) molecules are approximately 80 nucleotides in length. The record is from RNAcentral. Lineage: Bacteria; Candidatus Sungiibacteriota.
GCUCCCAUCGUCUAGAGGCCCAGGACCCGGGCUUUUCAAGCCCGUUACACCAGUUCGAAUCUGGUUGGGAGCG